GCGGCGCUACGACCGACGGGGCGACGGAUGGGGGUGGCUCGGCGGGGUUCUGGACGUCCCCGUGAUGGAGCGCGGCCCGCGGACCAGGGAAAUCCGGUCCGCACGAGGGCGAGGCUCCGGACGAAGCGAUCAAGCGAAGCGAGUGAGCCCGAGGUCCCUAGAAAAACCCCUAGGCAGGCGCGUGCGCGCCCGUACCGCAAACCGACACAGGUGGGUGGGUAGAACAUACCGAGGCGAUCGGGUCAACCAUGGUCAAGG
Molecule: ribosomal RNA, 258 nt
Filed under: Collinsella aerofaciens
Lineage: Bacteria; Bacillati; Actinomycetota; Coriobacteriia; Coriobacteriales; Coriobacteriaceae
Description: partial 23S ribosomal RNA
Rfam family: Bacterial large subunit ribosomal RNA
Source: RNAcentral